GAAGUGGACACACCUGUUCCCAUACCGAACACAGAAGUUAAGCACUUCAGCGCCGACGAUAGUUCCAAGGAGCAAAAAUAGGUCGUUGCCAGGC
RNAcentral lists this ribosomal RNA (94 nucleotides) under Tenericutes bacterium RIFOXYC2_FULL_35_27. The record is from RNAcentral. Lineage: Bacteria; Bacillati; Mycoplasmatota.